This is a long non-coding RNA of Rattus rattus (black rat), 1495 nucleotides long. RefSeq lists it as uncharacterized. NCBI's taxonomy places the organism in Eukaryota, Metazoa, Chordata, Mammalia, Rodentia, Muridae. The transcript has 2 exons. The record is from RefSeq and is a predicted model, not a curated record.
AUGGAAGACCUGCAGAAGGCAGCAUACAGAAGUUGCAAGUCCUUUCUACAACAGCAGUCUACAAAUGGAAGCCGUGGGCCUGGAUGUUAGCACAUGACCAAAAUGCUAACAGACGACACAAAGCCGGUCCCAGAGGAUCUAAGUGUCCAGGUCAGCAGUGAAGGAAUCUGCUCAAGUGCAGCACACAGAGGACCCAUGCCCCUCUCCGGCCACGCCCUGGGCAGUCAUUAUAUAUGGGAGGCAGAUGGCAUCAGAGCAGCUCUGUCAAUAAAACUUUAAUAAUGUACAGCAGAAACUGGACAGGCUCGUUCUUAUAUUAAAACAAAAAUUUCCUAUAUUACAAUAUAUUUACACUUGCAUACUGGAGAGGUAAAGUGUCUAAGUGGCUAUUUUACAGUCCUUUCUAAUAAAUUGUACAAAAAACAAACAGAAGUACCGAGAAUACCGUUCAGGGGCCUUGACGGCGACCUAAGAACGGGCUUAGACUUGGUCUAUGAAUCCAGAAUCCAGAGGUGCAGGUAGCCCUGUGGAUCAGGGUGGCCUCAGGGAGCCAAACCACAGCUUCAGUUUCUCCCAACUCUCAGCUCAAUGUAGAGUGAUGGGGUGGGAGUGGAGUUUCCCCCAAACCUGCUCAAGUCUUCCUGAGAGGUGGACGAGCUGAACUGCACAGAGGGCAGAAGGGUCUCCUGGGAGUAGUCCGGUGGUGUGGGGGUGGCUGUGGGGCUGCUGCUGGCAGGUAACAGAGGCAGAGAGGAUUCUACCAUUCAACCACCUGUAAUCACGGAGACUCAGCUGCAGGGUGGGAAGUGGGAGGUCAGCAGGGGUGGGUAAAGAGGUUCCCCCAAAGACACAGUUGGGACUCAAGGGAUACUGUUCAGUGGCCAGUAAAUUGGCCCAAGGAAUUAAAGGAGGAUCCCUUUAAAGCAAGGAAAGAAGCUAUACACCAGGAAAUAAAUAGAAAGACCGAGACUAUGGGGAGACAGUUUCCCUGCGCAUACUCAUGCCUCCCCUGGGGCAGGAAGGGCUCCCGGCGAUGAAUUCAGUCUCCAGGCCCCACCGCUUGCCAGGGGCUCCCCUUCCCGUUCCUUAGUGGUCUUUAAGAACAGAGCUCAUAAAGGUUCUCAGGGUCAGCCAUGAGUACUUCUGGUCUCAAAAGUGGGUGCUCAUCCACUCACGAUUCAGUUCUCCCUCCAGGAGCAGCGCCCGGGCCUGUCCCUCUCUCAGGAGAUCCUCCCAGGCCAGCGCUCAGCAGGCACACAACCCAAAUUUGCUGAGUGAAUGUCUGGAAAGGGUGCAGCCAGCCGGACAGUGCACAGAAGGCCGGGGAGCUGCUCAUGGGAUGGGGUCGGUGUGCAGGGCGUAGGAGGCUGCCAGCCCCAUGGGGAAAUGCGGCCCUUCCUGCUCAGCGGGAUCAGGCUCAGGAGCAGAGCGGGCGUUUCCAGUGACUGAACUAUGUGCGUCUGAGUCUAGACAAUUUUUGUUUUGUUUGUUUUAG